GUGUCAGCAGCCGCGGUAAUACGGGGGUGGCGAGCGUUACUCGGAUUCAUUGGGUGUAAAGGACAGGUAGGUGGUCAUGCAAGUUGGAGGUGAAAUCCUGCGGCUCAACCGCAGAACUGCCUUCAAAACUGCAUGACUUGAGGCUAGAAGAGGAGAGCGGAAUUCCCGGUGUAAGGGUGAAAUCUGUAGAUAUCGGGAGGAACACCAGUGGCGAAAGCGGCUCUCUGGUCUAGAUCUGACACUGAUCUGUGAAAGCUAGGGGAGCAAACAGGAUUAGAAACCCUGGUAGUCC
RNAcentral lists this ribosomal RNA (292 nucleotides) under uncultured bacterium. Its description in RNAcentral is "partial 16S ribosomal RNA". It matches the Rfam family "Bacterial small subunit ribosomal RNA", at positions 505 to 796 of the family's 1533-position model. The record is from RNAcentral.